RNAcentral lists this ribosomal RNA (207 nucleotides) under uncultured bacterium. Its description in RNAcentral is "partial 16S ribosomal RNA". It matches the Rfam family "Bacterial small subunit ribosomal RNA", at positions 568 to 774 of the family's 1533-position model. The record is from RNAcentral.
CGCGUAGGCGGCCGUUUAAGUCUGGAGUGAAAUUCCCGUUUUUAAGGUGGGAACUGCUUUGGAAACUGGACGGCUUGAGUGCAGGAGAGGUUAUCGGAAUUCCCGGUGUAGCGGUGAAAUGCGUAGAGAUCGGGAGGAACACCAGUGGCGAAGGCGGGUAACUGGACUGCAACUGACGCUGAGGCGCGAAAGUGUGGGGAGCAAACA